UACGGAGGAGGCAAGCGUUAUCCGGAAUUAUUGGGCGUAAAGCGUCCGCAGGUGGCACCUCAAGUCUGCUGUCAAAGACCGGGGCUUAACCCCAGAAAGGCAGUGGAAACUGAAGUGCUAGAGUGCAGUAGGGGUAGAGGGAAUUCCCGGUGUAGCGGUGAAAUGCGUAGAGAUCGGGAAGAACAUCGGUGGCGAAAGCGCUCUGCUGGACCUCAUCUGACACUCAGGGACGAAAGCUAGGGGAGCGAAUGGG
Molecule: ribosomal RNA, 253 nt
Filed under: uncultured bacterium
Lineage: Bacteria
Description: partial 16S ribosomal RNA
Rfam family: Bacterial small subunit ribosomal RNA
Source: RNAcentral